UACGUAGGUGGCAAGCGUUGUCCGGAUUUAUUGGGUUUAAAGGGUGCGUAGGUGGUUCCAUAAGUCAGUGGUGAAAUACGGCAGCUUAACUGUCGAGGUGCCAUUGAUACUGCGGAACUUGAGUACAGACGAGGUAGGCGGAAUUGACGGUGUAGCGGUGAAAUGCUUAGAUAUCGUCAAGAACACCGAUAGCGAAGGCAGCUUACUAGACUGUAACUGACACUGAGGCACGAAAGUGUGGGGAUCAAAC
This 250-nucleotide ribosomal RNA is filed under the name uncultured bacterium. RNAcentral's name for it is "partial 16S ribosomal RNA". It matches the Rfam family "Bacterial small subunit ribosomal RNA", at positions 524 to 773 of the family's 1533-position model. The record is from RNAcentral.